Molecule: ribosomal RNA, 440 nt
Filed under: uncultured Duganella sp.
Lineage: Bacteria; Pseudomonadati; Pseudomonadota; Betaproteobacteria; Burkholderiales; Oxalobacteraceae
Description: bacterial SSU rRNA
Rfam family: Bacterial small subunit ribosomal RNA
Source: RNAcentral
GGAAUUUUGGACAAUGGGCGCAAGCCUGAUCCAGCAAUGCCGCGUGAGUGAAGAAGGCCUUCGGGUUGUAAAGCUCUUUUGUCAGGGAAGAAACGGUGUUUUCUAAUACAGAACGCUAAUGACGGUACCUGAAGAAUAAGCACCGGCUAACUACGUGCCAGCAGCCGCGGUAAUACGUAGGGUGCAAGCGUUAAUCGGAAUUACUGGGCGUAAAGCGUGCGCAGGCGGUUUUGUAAGACUGUCGUGAAAUCCCCGGGCUCAACCUGGGAAUGGCGAUGGUGACUGCAAGGCUAGAGUUUGGCAGAGGGGGGUAGAAUUCCACGUGUAGCAGUGAAAUGCGUAGAUAUGUGGAGGAACACCGAUGGCGAAGGCAGCCCCCUGGGUCAAAACUGACGCUCAUGCACGAAAGCGUGGGGAGCAAACAGGAUUAGAUACCCUUG